RNAcentral lists this ribosomal RNA (468 nucleotides) under uncultured bacterium. RNAcentral's name for it is "partial 16S ribosomal RNA". It matches the Rfam family "Bacterial small subunit ribosomal RNA", at positions 28 to 507 of the family's 1533-position model. The record is from RNAcentral.
GACGAACGCUGGCGGCGUGCUUAACACAUGCAAGUCGAACGGAAAGGCCCUGCUUUUGUGGGGUGCUCGAGUGGCGAACGGGUGAGUAACACGUGAGUAACCUGCCCUUGACUUUGGGAUAACUUCAGGAAACUGGGGCUAAUACCGGAUAGAAGCUCCUGCUGCAUGGUGGGGGUUGGAAAGUUUCGGCGGUUGGGGAUGGACUCGCGGCUUAUCAGCUUGUUGGUGGGGUAGUGGCUUACCAAGGCUUUGACGGGUAGCCGGCCUGAGAGGGUGACCGGCCACAUUGGGACUGAGAUACGGCCCAGACUCAUACGGGAGGCAGCAGUGGGGAAUAUUGCACAAUGGGCGGAAGCCUGAUGCAGCAACGCCGCGUGCGGGAUGACGGCCUUCGGGUUGUAAACCGCUUUCGCCUGUGACGAAGCGUGAGUGACGGUAAUGGGUAAAGAAGCACCGGCUAACUACGUG